GUGGGGAAUUUUGGACAAUGGGCGCAAGCCUGAUCCAGCAAUGCCGCGUGUGUGAAGAAGGCCUUCGGGUUGUAAAGCACUUUUGUCCGGAAAGAAAUCUCCUGGGUUAAUACCUCGGGGGGAUGACGGUACCGGAAGAAUAAGCACCGGCUAACUACGUGCCAGCAGCCGCGGUAAUACGAGGGGUCCUAGCGUUGUUCGGAAUCAUUGGGCGUAAAGGGUGUGUAGGUGGCCAUGUAAGUCAGGUGUGAAAGCCCCGGGCUCAACCCGGGAAGUGCACUUGUGACUGCAAGGCUAGAGUGUGUCAGAGGGAGGUGGAAUUCCGCGUGUAGCAGUGAAAUGCGUAGAGAUGCGGAGGAACACCGAUGGCGAAGGCAGCCUCCUGGGAUAACACUGACGCUCAGGCACGAAAGCGUGGGGAGCAAACAGGAUUAGAUACCCUGGUAGUCC
RNAcentral lists this ribosomal RNA (450 nucleotides) under uncultured bacterium. Its description in RNAcentral is "partial 16S ribosomal RNA". It matches the Rfam family "Bacterial small subunit ribosomal RNA", at positions 354 to 796 of the family's 1533-position model. The record is from RNAcentral.